Molecule: transfer RNA, 73 nt
Filed under: Ovis aries (sheep)
Lineage: Eukaryota; Metazoa; Chordata; Mammalia; Artiodactyla; Bovidae
Rfam family: tRNA
About the family: Transfer RNA (tRNA) molecules are approximately 80 nucleotides in length. Their secondary structure includes four short double-helical elements and three loops (D, anti-codon, and T loops).
Source: Rfam by way of RNAcentral
UACCUAGUGGUCCAGUGGCUAAGACUCUGCACUCCCAAUGCAGGGGACUUUGGUUCGAUUCCUGGUCAGGGAA